UACGUAGGUGGCGAGCGUUGUCCGGAUUUACUGGGUGUAAAGGGCGUGUAGGCGGGAAAGUAAGUCAGAUGUGAAAUUCCACGGCUCAACUGUGGCGCUGCAUCUGAAACUAUUUUUCUUGAGUGCUGGAGAGGAAAGCGGAAUUCCUAGUGUAGCGGUGAAAUGCGUAGAUAUUAGGAGGAACACCAGUGGCGAAGGCGGCUUUCUGGACAGUAACUGACGCUGAGGCGCGAAAGCGUGGGGAG
Molecule: ribosomal RNA, 245 nt
Filed under: uncultured bacterium
Lineage: Bacteria
Description: partial 16S ribosomal RNA
Rfam family: Bacterial small subunit ribosomal RNA
Source: RNAcentral